AGUAUAAUCAUGAUUAUAGUUUAUUGGUGCUAAACAAAUAAAUGUUUCACAAGUCAAAACAGUACAAUAUGAUAACCUAAUUAAUUCUGACCGACAAAUUAACAAAAAAUUAUUUCACACUGAUCCAGAUUAUAACUGAUACAUUCAUAAAAGUAUUUAAAUAUAAAAGGUCACAAAUAUUGGGCGUUACCCUCCUUGGUUCUUUUAUCCGCUGCCGCAUCUGCCGCUCCCCCGUUCUGGAUUAAUUUUCUUUAUUAUUAUUAUUAUUAUUAUUAUUAGUAUUAUUAUCAUUAUUGUUUGUUUCCUUUUGAUUUAUUUGAUAUAAAUUGAUUAAUUUUAAGGGUUAUUUCGUCUGUACCAACAGAUUAACGGGUUUUCUAAUCGAGAAUUAAUCCUUUUUGUCAACAUUUUAAUUAGUUUUAUAACUGUAUUUUAUAAUUUUAUAUAUGGGAUGGGCAUUUGAAUUUGAAUUCAAUGUCACCUAAUGGCAUAUCCCAAAAUUUUAUUAUAUUAUUGAAGCACGA
This is a long non-coding RNA of Anthonomus grandis grandis, 524 nucleotides long. RefSeq lists it as uncharacterized. The transcript has 2 exons. The record is from RefSeq and is a predicted model, not a curated record. Lineage: Eukaryota; Metazoa; Arthropoda; Insecta; Coleoptera; Curculionidae.